RNAcentral lists this non-coding RNA (182 nucleotides) under unclassified sequences. Its description in RNAcentral is "DUF2800 RNA". The stretch from base 28 to 182 matches the Rfam family "DUF2800 RNA". Rfam says of the family: Actinobacteria, Firmicutes, Synergistetes (1 example). The record is from RNAcentral.
GUCCUGAGCAAGACAUUAAACUGCUCACCACCUAAUACCGCAUUACCUGAUCACUGAUGGCUCAACGGUACCUGGUGGACAAGUUAAUACUGUAGCUGCCUUUUGAGCGGGUUUGCUGCAAUCCGAAACGGAGAAAUCUGUUUGGGUUGCGGUUCUUUUCCUGUGCCCGUAGCAGCUGCACC